AUUGAACGCUGGCGGCAUGCCUUACACAUGCAAGUCGAACGGCAGCACGGGUGCUUGCACCUGGUGGCGAGUGGCGAACGGGUGAGUAAUACAUCGGAACGUACCUUAUCGUGGGGGAUAACGCAGCGAAAGCUGUGCUAAUACCGCAUACGCCCUGAGGGGGAAAGCGGGGGAUCGCAAGACCUCGCGCGAUUAGAGCGGCCGAUGCCUGAUUAGCUAGUUGGUGGGGUAAAAGCCCAACAAGGCGACGAUCAGUAGCUGGUCUGAGAGGACGAUCAGCCACACUGGGACUGAGAAACGGCCCAGACUCCGACGGGAGGCAGCAGUGGGGAAUUUUGGACAAUGGGGGCAACCCUGAUCCAGCAAUGCCGCGUGAGUGAAGAAGGCCUUCGGGUUGUAAAGCUCUUUUGUCAGGGAAGAAACACCGGCUCUAACACAGUCCGGGAAUGACGGUACCUGAAGAAUAAGCACCGGCUAACUACGUGCCAGCCGCCGCGGUAA
RNAcentral lists this ribosomal RNA (501 nucleotides) under uncultured bacterium. RNAcentral describes it as "partial 16S ribosomal RNA". It matches the Rfam family "Bacterial small subunit ribosomal RNA", at positions 29 to 523 of the family's 1533-position model. The record is from RNAcentral.